This 1391-nucleotide long non-coding RNA is filed under the name Sorghum bicolor (sorghum). RNAcentral describes it as "long non-coding RNA (SBIC_LNC012260)". Lineage: Eukaryota; Viridiplantae; Streptophyta; Magnoliopsida; Poales; Poaceae. The record is from RNAcentral.
CCUAAUUUGCAAAUUUUAAGUUCUCUCUCAAGUUUAGACAUAACUGUUAUAAUUUAAAGCUUGCUCUAGACCUAAACUUGUGGGAUGAAAACAUGAUCUGAAGUCUAAGUUGUUAACGGAUACGAUAUGGGAAGGUUGAGCUGCUGUUUAUCUGUUCCUAGAGAUGCUAGAAUUCUGGAGAAUUUUAUCUUUGAAAAUCUUUAAAAUGUUGCAUGAUGAGUUCCUGUAUGAUGAGAGCUUAAAAAUUCCUACCACAGCCGUAUAUACAUGCUUGCUAGACUUUGAGCCACACAUUUAUUAUUUACUGCUUAUGAGCAUUGAGUGUGGUCAAGCUGUGUAGACCCUUAGGAGCUUGUCAUGUGGUUAAAUCAAGAUUUCACUUGCACGUUCACUCAUAUAUGCUACUUCUACUCCGGAAGUACCAUCCACAUAUAUCCAUCCAUUCCAUCUCCGGAACCACCUGAAAAUAUUCUACUCCUAAUCCGGGAGAGAAUAACCAAAAAUAUUUUCUGUUUUCCCUUGUGAAAUAAAUGCUCAAGUUAUCUUGUUACUACCACUUGCUAUAUUAUCUCAAGAGAUGAGUGCUCUAAAAAAAAGAGAAAAUAAUACGAGGAAAUAAAAAGGAGCAAGUGCUCGGAACCUCAAAAGAAAAGAAAAAGUGAGACAAGAGGUAAAAAUGGACAAGUGUCCGACAGUAGAAUUAGGGGUGCAAGAUACCCACCUGAGAGACAAGAAAAAGAAGAGCAUCUCAUUCUCCUCAUAAAGUUUCUAAAGCAAGGAAGGUAUGUAUCUCCUCAAAGAGCAAAAGUAGAAUUAGACUUCCACCUCCAUUGUUUUCACCAUUGUUAUCACCAUCAUCACCAUAUACCAUUCAUUCGCCACACAUGCACAUCUUGAUUAAACUUAUUGACUUGUUACUUUGGAUCCAUGGUUUGACUAUGCAAUAAAUGUCUUGUAAGAAUGUAUACUUUAUCUCCCACCUAUGAGCUCCAGAUAUUAAAGCCUUAUUAGAGUAGGAUGAGAGAGAAGGCAAUGUCACUAUGCCUCAUACCACAAAUACCACAUAUCUUGAGAGAAGGCAUAUACCAUCAAUGCCUUGGUAAGGAUCCAAAAAUAUCACAAAAGAGAGACCUGAGAGAAUCAUACAAGGAAUCUCUGAAUUUUAUUUGAAAAUCUACAAAAACCCCAGAGCUAUAGCUGAUCAAUAAUAAGAGACAUGGCACUUGGCUAGACUGUUCUAUCUUUUAACCACUCAAGACAGAAGUGACAGUUACAAGUCCCAUGGUGGAGGUAAAGUAAGUAAGUUUUAAGUCUUGACAGUUUACUCUAACUCAGAGAUGAGAUCUUAUUUAAAAGCAUGUGAACCGUCAAAUUUUUUAAAAUAUUGCAGC